Molecule: ribosomal RNA, 269 nt
Filed under: uncultured bacterium
Lineage: Bacteria
Description: partial 16S ribosomal RNA
Rfam family: Bacterial small subunit ribosomal RNA
Source: RNAcentral
CGUCGGCGACCGGCGCACGGGUGGAGUAACACGUAUGCAACCUGCCCUCCUUCAGGGGGACAACCUUCCGAAAGGGAGGCUAAUCCCGCGUAUAUCGGUUUCGGGCAUCCGAGAUCGAGGAAAGAUUCAUCGGAAGAGGAUGGGCAUGCGGCGCAUUAGCUAGACGGCGGGGUAACGGCCCACCGUGGCGACGAUGCGUAGGGGUUCUGAGAGGAAGGUCCCCCACACUGGUACUGAGACACGGACCAGACUCCUACGGGAGGCAGCAG